UAUUUCAUUCUUACACUCCGGAAGUGCCUGAUCUCAGAAGCUAAGCAGGGUUGGGCCUGGUUAGUACUUGGAUGGGAGCCUCUUUUUUUAAACUGCUCAACCUCCCUAACGUGAAGAUAAGGAAACCAAAGGU
Molecule: ribosomal RNA, 133 nt
Filed under: Tursiops truncatus (common bottlenose dolphin)
Lineage: Eukaryota; Metazoa; Chordata; Mammalia; Artiodactyla; Delphinidae
Source: RNAcentral